ACUCCUACGGGAGGCAGCAGUGGGGAAUCUUGGACAAUGGGCGCAAGCCUGAUCCAGCCAUGCCGCGUGAGUGAUGAAGGCCCUAGGGUCGUAAAGCUCUUUCGCCAGGGAUGAUAAUGACAGUACCUGGUAAAGAAACCCGGCUAACUCCGUGCCAGCAGCCGCGGUAAUACGGAGGGGGUUAGCGUUGUUCGGAAUUACUGGGCGUAAAGCGCGCGUAGGCGGAUUAAUAAGUUGGGGGUGAAAUCCCGGGGCUCAACCCCGGGAACUGCCUCCAAAACUGUUAGUCUUGAGUUCGAGAGAGGUGAGUGGAAUUCCGAGUGUAGAGGUGAAAUUCGUAGAUAUUCGGAGGAACACCAGUGGCGAAGGCGGCUCACUGGCUCGAUACUGACGCUGAGGUGCGAAAGCGUGGGAGCAAACAGGAUUACGAUACCCUGGUAGCGACUGA
Molecule: ribosomal RNA, 448 nt
Filed under: uncultured bacterium
Lineage: Bacteria
Description: bacterial SSU rRNA
Rfam family: Bacterial small subunit ribosomal RNA
Source: RNAcentral